CCAAUAUUGAAAAUCUGCCAUUGACCACCAUUGUACUUUUUCUCUGUUUUCUCUCUCACCGCCUUUUUGCCGCUGUGAACAACUCCAAAAAGCCCUCUCUCUUUCUUCUUCUUCACCUUUUUAGAGAGAGAAACCCAGUUAUCUUUUCGGUUUCCUUAUUGAUUUCUCUCUCUCUAUAUCUAUAUCUAUAUGUAUGUAUCAUUUUUUCAUUAUUCGUCCAUAUCUCUAUUAAUUCGUCAAUUAACUACAAAACCCAUCUCCCAUUUGUUUGAUCCAACGGCCAUAAAUCAUCUGCUUAUUCAAUCGUUCGACUAAGGAUAUGUCUGCUGAAGUGGCUGAAGGAAUUUGUGAGGCCAGGCAUAUGGAACCUAAUGGUUACAGAAAGGGUAACAAAAGGAAUCUUGUUACCGUUCAAAAUGGUAAUCAUAGCCCGCUGAAUGUAGAUGAGGAGCUGGAUCCAUGGACUGCUUGGGCAUACAAACCUCGUACUAUUACAUUGUUGCUUAUUGGUGCAUGUUUCCUAAUCUGGGCAAGUGGAGCUCUUGAGCCGCAAAGUACUUCCUCCAGUGAUGUUACUACUUCUGUGAAAAGGGGCAUUUGGGCAAUGGUUGCUGUUUAUCUUGCUUACUCUUUGCUGCAAGCCCCUUCAACGGUACUUAUUAGACCACAUCCUGCGAUUUGGCGCCUGGUUCAUGGAAUGGCUGUGAUUUAUCUUGUUGCUUUGACAUUUCUACUUUUUCAGAGGCGCGAUGAUGCUCGCCAGUUUAUGACAUUUCUUCAUCCUGAUCUUGGCAUUGAACUUCCUGAAAAAUCUUAUGGUGCUGAUUGCAGACUCUAUGUACCUGAAAAUCCCACAAACAGGUUUAAGAAUGUUUAUGACACAUUGUUCGAUGAGUUCGUUCUAGCUCAUGUCUUAGGGUGGUGGGGCAAGGCCAUCAUGAUACGUAAUCAGCCUCUUUUAUGGGUCUUAUCUAUUGGGUUCGAGUUGAUGGAGCUUACUUUCCGCCACAUGUUACCAAACUUUAAUGAGUGCUGGUGGGACAGCAUUAUUCUGGAUAUAUUCAUUUGCAACUGGUUUGGCAUCUUGGCAGGAAUGCGUACUGUUCGAUAUUUUGAUGGAAGAACAUAUGAGUGGGUUGGUAUAAGCCGGCAGCCAAAUAUUAUGGGCAAGGUCAAGCGAACACUUGGCCAAUUUACACCUGCACAUUGGGAUAAAGAUGAAUGGCGUCCCCUCCUUGGUCCCUGGCGAUUCCUUCAAGUUCUCACUCUCUGUGUUAUUUUCUUGACUGUGGAAUUGAAUACAUUCUUUUUGAAGUUCUGUCUUUGGAUUCCUCCUAGAAACCCUUUGAUAGUGUAUAGGUUGGUUCUGUGGUGGCUACUUGCGAUACCAACAAUUCGGGAGUACAACACUUACCUACAGGACAGGACACCCGUAAAAAAGGUGGGAGCAUAUUGCUGGCUUUCACUAGCUAUUUGCAUUGUUGAACUCUUAAUCUGCGUCAAGUUCGGACAUGGAUUGUUUCCUGACCCCAUGCCCAAUUGGUUAGUAAUUUUCUGGACAUGCACUGGCGUUGGCCUUGUGUUAUGUUUGGCUGCAUGGUCAUGGCAAUUACAUCGUACAAUGAGGAAAAAACAGCAAUGAGUUUCUGCAGUAACUCCAUUCUUUAUUCCUUUGUGUUAUUUCGGGUCACAGGUUGGUAAAUGCCUUGUUUGUGCUGCCUCAGUUUGCAGGGCUAUUGUUCUCUCGAAGAUCAUCGAGUCUAUGGGUGGUACAAGUUUCUGAGAACUGCCUUGACCAAUAGGAAGCACAGAUAAUUUGGAACAAAGAGAGUUCAGACUAUGUUUUCUUGCAUGAGAAAAGACGUUUAUGUUGACCUUGAGGAUGAACGUGAUGAUACUGUUGAGCAGCAAAUUGAAAAGAUAAGAGAACAACUCAUUCUUGAUUCUUCCAUGGACAAUUUAUUUUUGUAGGCCAAAAUUUUAAGAUUGUGAUCUCAAGUAUU
Molecule: RNA transcript, 2003 nt
Organism: Solanum stenotomum
Lineage: Eukaryota; Viridiplantae; Streptophyta; Magnoliopsida; Solanales; Solanaceae
Gene name: CDP-diacylglycerol--serine O-phosphatidyltransferase 1-like
Exons: 16
Source: RefSeq, a predicted model, not a curated record